GGCAACUGUACCUGUGGAUAGUAACUUCUGGAAGGAAGGCCCGGCUGCCUCUGCAGUAGACAGUGACAAAGCUGGAGCACUUAAGAAUUAUAUGUCAACAGGAAUCUACAUCUUUCCCACCAGCAGAAAAAGACAGAGAAAAGUCAAGAGGGAAGUGAAAGACAGAGAUGGGAAGAAGCAAGAAAGAGAUCUGCGACAGUGAUUCACUGCUCAUGAAGCUUUUCUCCUGUGAGGAUCAGACUGGGGACUUACACCUGGAUCCUUGCACAUUGCAAUGCGUCU
Erinaceus europaeus (western European hedgehog) is the source of this 282-nucleotide long non-coding RNA. RefSeq lists it as uncharacterized. The transcript is spliced from 3 exons. The record is from RefSeq and is a predicted model, not a curated record. Lineage: Eukaryota; Metazoa; Chordata; Mammalia; Eulipotyphla; Erinaceidae.